CUCCCGGCCCUGCCCUCACGGGCGGAGCGCCCGCCGGAGGAUACCAAACUCUAUUUUAACGACGUUUCUUCUGAGUGGCACAAGCAAAUAAUUAAAACUUUCAACAACGGAUCUCUUGGUUCUGGCAUCGAUGAAGAACGCAGCGAAAUGCGAUAAGUAAUGUGAAUUGCAGAAUUCAGUGAAUCAUCGAAUCUUUGAACGCACAUUGCGCCCGCCAGCAUUCUGGCGGGCAUGCCUGUUCGAGCGUCAUUUCAACCCUCAAGCUCUGCUUGGUGUUGGGGCCCUACGGUUGACGUAGGCCCUUAAAGGUAGUGGCGGACCCUCUCGGAGCCUCCUUUGCGUAGUAACUAACGUCUCGCACUGGGAUUCGGAGGGACUCUUGCCGUAAAACCCCCAAAUUUUUAAAGGUUGACCUCGGAUCAGGUAGGAAUACCCGCUGAACUUAAGCAUAUCAAUAG
RNAcentral lists this ribosomal RNA (458 nucleotides) under Colletotrichum coccodes. RNAcentral's name for it is "eukaryotic LSU rRNA". The stretch from base 96 to 249 matches the Rfam family "5.8S ribosomal RNA". The record is from RNAcentral. Lineage: Eukaryota; Fungi; Ascomycota; Sordariomycetes; Glomerellales; Glomerellaceae.